GAUGAACGCUAGCGGCAGGCCUAACACAUGCAAGUCGAGGGGUAGAGUUCUUCGGGACUUGAGACCGGCGCACGGGUGCGUAACGCGUAUGCAAUCUACCUUAUACAGGGGAAUAGCCCAGAGAAAUUUGGAUUAAUGCCCCAUAGUGUUAUCGAAUCGCAUGGUUUGAUAACUAAAGUUCCAACGCUAUAAGAUGAGCAUGCGUCCAUUAGUUAGUUGGUAAGGUAACGGCUUACCAAGACAAUGAUGGGUAGGGGUCCUGAGAGGGAGAUCCCCACACUGGUACUGAGACACGGACCAGACUCCUACGGGAGGCAGCAGUGA
RNAcentral lists this ribosomal RNA (324 nucleotides) under uncultured bacterium. RNAcentral's name for it is "bacterial SSU rRNA". It matches the Rfam family "Bacterial small subunit ribosomal RNA", at positions 28 to 357 of the family's 1533-position model. The record is from RNAcentral.